This is a long non-coding RNA of Eptatretus burgeri (inshore hagfish), 2737 nucleotides long. Lineage: Eukaryota; Metazoa; Chordata; Myxini; Myxiniformes; Myxinidae. The record is from Ensembl.
UGUUCUUGUUUUUGUCGUCUCACCGUGUUCUUGUUUUUGUCAUCGCACGGUGUUCUUGUUUUUGUCGUCGCAUGGUGUUCUUGUUUUUGUCGUCACACGGUGUUCUUGUUUUUGUCGUCACACGGUGUUCUUGUUUUUGUCGUCGCAUCGUGUUCUUGUUUUUGUCGGGGGGGGGGGGGGGGGGGGGGGGGGGGGGGGGGGGGGGGGGGGGGGGGGGGUGGUCACACGGUGUUCUUGUUUUUGUCGUCGCAUGGUAUUCUUGUUUUUGUCGUCACAUCGUGUUCUUGUUUUUGACGUCGCAUCGUGUUCUUGUUUUUGUCGUCUCAGCAUGUUCUUGUUUUUUGUCGUCGCACGGUGUUCUUGUUUUUGUUGUCGCAUGGUGUUCUUGUUUUUGUCGUCGCAUCAUGUUCUUGCUUUUGUCGUCACAUCGUGUUGUUGUUUUUGUCAUCGCAUCGUGUUCUCGUUUUUGUCGUCUCAUCAUGUUCUUGUUUUUGUCAUUGCACUGUGUUCUUGUUUUUGUCGUCGAACAGUGUUCUUGUUUUGGCGGCGAUUCGUGUUCUUGUUUUUGUCAUCGCAUCCUGUUCUUGUUUUUCUGUCAUCGCAUCAUGUUCUUGUUUGUGUCGUCGCACAGUGUUCUUGUUUUUGUCGUCGCAUCAUGUUCUUCUUUUUGUCAUCGCAUCAUGUUCUUGUUUGUGUCGUCGCACGGUGUUCUUGUUUUGGCGGUGAUUCGUGUUCUUGUUUUUGUCGUCGCAUCAUGUUCUUCUUUUUGUCAUCGCAUCAUGUUCUUGUUUGUGUCGUCGCACAGUGUUCUUGUUUUUGUCGUCGCAUCGUGUUCUUGUUUUUGUCGUGGCAACGUGUUCUUGUUUUUGUCGUCGCACGGUGUUCUUGUUUUUGUCAUCGCAAGGUGUUCUUGUUUUUGUCAUCGCAACGUGUUCUUGUUUUUGUCAUCGCACGGUGUUCUUGUUUUUGUCAUCGCAACGUGUUCUUGUUUUUGUCGUCGCAUCUUGUUCUUGUUUUUGUUGUGGCAACGUGUUCUUGUUUUUGUUAUUGCAAGGUGUUCUUGUUUUUGUCAUCGCAAGGUGUUCUUGUUUUUGUCGUCGCACGGUGUUCUUGUUUUUGUCGUCGCACGGUGUUCUUGUUGUUGCCGUCGCACGGUGUUCUUGUUGUUGCCGUCGCACUGUGUUCUUGUUGUUGCCGUUGCACGGUGUUCUUGUUGUUGCCGUUGCACGGUGUUCUUGUUGCCAUCGCACGGUGUUGUUGUUGUUGUCGUCGUACGGUAUUCUUGUUGUCGUCAUCCGGUGUUCUUGUUGUUGCCGUCGCUCCAUGCUCUUGCCUCCUUCCACUCACCGCCAUUGUGUGUGUGUGUGUGUGUGUGUGUGUGUAUGUGUGUACGUGUUUGUGUGUGUCGGUUGUUAUCUACACUGGCAGAGUUCCUGCCCUCUGCGCGAUCUUGUUCCAACCAUGCAACACGUUUUUUUAAUGCAUACCUUUACUUCGGUGGUGUAUUGUCAACUGACAGCUCUGUCGAGGCAAAAAAAUAAUCCAGAUUAUUUGCAAGAAGCAAAAACAUACUCACUGCUUCUAAUUCAAAACACCUCACUGCACUGGAAAAUGUGGGGACAGGAAUUGUGUAAAUGCUGGAGACUUGUAAUAUCCCCACCCCUACCUGGAGGUGAUGCUACAUUUUGCGUUUUCUUCUUUUGAUCUUGUGAUGUUGAUGUGGGGCAGGCAUGAUGGGCUGAAUGGACUCCACCAGUGUCUAAUUUCCUUGUGUGUAUCGUUGCGUUACUUUUAACAUUGUUCUUAACAAACGGGGACAGGAACAACAGAGGCAUGAUUCUCAUGCGCAAUGUUCCCUGUGUAUCUUUGUGUAGCAUUGUGAAGAACAGGAAAAAAUGGGGAGGGGAGGACAGCAAGUUGGGGGUAGGGAUGCGUUGAGUUGGAAGAGUGAGAUUGAGAUGUUGGAAAGUGGGGGGGGGAUUGAGGACUUUCGGUUGAGAGGGGGGUUGAGUACUUGGGGUUUGUGGCAGUUGGGGGCGGAGGGCAGAGAAGGGAGAAGGUUGGGAUUGAGUGGUCUGAGGCUUUUGAGGUGUGCGUGUGCGCGUGUGCGCGUGCUUGCAUUUUUUGACUUUAUGCCUGAUUGACCUGUUUUUAAAUUCCCAGGUCGUUAAUAUUUGAUUUGAGUGCUUCAGAUCGGAAACACAAAAUGUAAUGAGUGAGUGGAUGGUAUCGAUUGUAUAAGAUGGGGGUGCAUGUUGGGUCCAUAAAGAAGUUUGAGUGGACAGUAGUUUCUUCUUGUUUUCACAUGUGAUGUAAAUAUUCUUUCCCUUUGCCUUCUUCACAAUGUUCCACCCUUAGAAUACAAUAAAACUUACACUUAUUAGUUUUGAUAGUUUGUGGUGCUCUGAAGUUCAUUAUAAUAUCAGAAUCCACUUUACACAACAACAAAAAUGCAUCUUUUGACAUCGUUAGCUACUUCCUUUGGUAAUCCCUCCUUCCACUGAACACGACCCCCUGAAAUGAACCCCCCCUCCUGACCAGCAUCUGCGAACCACUCACCUUGCAUUGCUCACAAUAAUCGACCAUCCUCCACUCUGCUCAUGAAGGGUGGUUCUUGAUAAAGUGCUCAGGUAGAUUGUAGGUGUGGAAGUUGUCUGAUUCAUGUGCACAUGCAGCAUGAUCAAGCAUCUCAUUCAAAGCACAAAACUCAAAACUGCCUGAGAAGAGGUGCCCUGGG